Molecule: RNA transcript, 9193 nt
Organism: Orcinus orca (killer whale)
Lineage: Eukaryota; Metazoa; Chordata; Mammalia; Artiodactyla; Delphinidae
Gene: KIF21B
Gene name: kinesin family member 21B
Exons: 36
Source: RefSeq, a predicted model, not a curated record
GUGUAACCUCGGUAGUUCCCCUCUCUGCGUACCGGCUUCCGCAUUAAUGGGCUGGGGUCCCACCGAGGCUGAGGGUCUGCGGCUCCGGGGUCCGAGGCUCCGGCGCGGUCAGCUCCUCGGCCCGCGUCCCUCCGCGCCCCCCAGGCCACCCGGCCAGGCCCCCAGCAAACGCGUGGACAUGAGGCGAGGGGUUCCUUUAAAGGCUUCCGCCCCGCCCCUGCUGCCGGCUCGGGCUUUCGAUUGGUGCAUCAGCCUCGGGGGCGGAGCUAGGGGCGGAGCCGGGACCGGUUCGGGGGCGGAGCCUCCGCCGGGCCGGCCCCCGCCCCCUUUGUUCGUGCGGCGGCGGGAGGCGCUGCGGGCUGGAGGUGCGCGCGCGGGAGCCGCGUCGUGGGGAGCGGGUCGCGCCCGGGCUGUCAGCUGGCUCCGCGCCGCCGCCCGAUGGCUCGAGGGGGCGCGCGGGCCCGGCCCCGGGGGUCCUCCGCCGGCCGCGUGUGAGCCCUCCGCCGGCCGCCCGCGAGCAUGUCACCUCCAGCCGCCGCAGCCUCCGUCCGCAGCGCCCGCGCCCUCGCCUCUAGCAGCCGCAGACGCAGCCGCAGCCGCAGCCGCCGCCCGGGGCAUUGGCCCCCAAGCCCCCGCCCCUGAUCGACUCGGGACCCGGCGCCGAAGCACCAUGGCGGGCCAGGGGGACUGCUGCGUCAAGGUGGCCGUCAGGAUCCGGCCCCAGCUGUCAAAAGAGAAGAUUGAGGGCUGCCACAUCUGCACGUCGGUCACCCCGGGGGAGCCGCAGGUCCUCCUGGGGAAGGACAAGGCCUUCACCUAUGACUUUGUGUUCGACCUGGACACCUGGCAGGAGCAGAUUUACUCUACCUGCGUGAGCAGGCUCGUGGAGGGCUGCUUCGAGGGCUACAAUGCCACGGUGCUGGCCUACGGGCAGACGGGGGCCGGGAAGACGUAUACUAUGGGCACCGGUUUCGACGUGGCGAUGGCGGAGGAGGAGCAGGGCAUCAUCCCGAGGGCCAUCGCGCACCUCUUCGGGGGCAUCGCCGAGCGCAAGCGGCGGGCACAGGAGCAGGGGGUGGCCGGGCCCGAGUUCAAAGUCAGCGCCCAGUUCCUGGAGCUCUACAACGAGGAGAUCCUCGACCUCUUCGACAGCGCCCGCGACCCUGACGCCCGCCACCGCAGGUCCAACAUCAAGAUCCACGAGGACGCCAACGGCGGCAUCUACACCACGGGCGUCACCGCCCGCCUCGUCAGCUCCCAGGAGGAGCUGAUCCAGUGCCUGAAGCAGGGCGCCCUGUCGCGCACCACGGCCAGCACCCAGAUGAACGUGCAGAGCUCCCGCUCCCACGCCAUCUUCACCAUCCACGUGUGCCAGAUGCGCCUGUGCACCCGGCCCGACCUGGUGAACGAGGCCGUGACCGGGCUUCCCGACGGCACCGCUCCCUCCGGCGAGUAUGAGACGCUCACCGCCAAGUUUCACUUUGUGGACCUGGCCGGCUCAGAGCGGCUGAAGCGGACGGGGGCCACAGGCGAGCGGGCCAAGGAGGGCAUCUCGAUCAACUGCGGCCUGCUGGCCUUGGGCAACGUGAUCAGCGCCUUGGGGGACCAGAGCAAGAAAGUGGUGCACGUGCCCUACAGGGACUCCAAGCUCACCCGGCUCCUCCAGGACUCGCUGGGCGGGAACAGCCAGACCAUCAUGAUCGCCUGCGUGAGCCCCUCUGACCGGGACUUCAUGGAGACGCUCAACACGCUCAAAUACGCCAACCGAGCCCGCAACAUCAAGAACAAGGUGGUGGUGAACCAGGACAAGACCAGCCAGCAGAUCAGUGCGCUGCGGGCCGAGAUUGCGCGCCUGCAGAUGGAGCUGAUGGAGUACAAGGCGGGCAAGAGGGUGAUCGGGGAGGAUGGCGCCGAGGGCUACAGUGACCUGUUCCGGGAGAACGCGAUGCUGCAGAAGGAGAACGGGGCCCUGCGCCUGCGGGUCAAGGCCAUGCAGGAGGCCAUCGAUGCCAUCAACAGCCGUGUCACACAGCUCAUGAGCCAGGAGGCCAACCUGCUCCUGGCCAAGGCUGGAGACGGCAGCGAGGCCAUCGGUGCUCUGAUCCAGAACUACAUCCGGGAGAUUGAGGACCUGCGGACCAAGCUCCUGGAGAGCGAGGCCAUGAACGAGUCCCUGCGUCGCAGCCUCUCUCGGGCCUCGACCCGGGGUCCCUACUCCCUGGGCGCGUCCCCGGUCGUCCCGACCGGCUCCAUGGAGGAUGCCGCUGAGGUCAUCCGCCGAGCCAAGCAGGACCUGGAGAGGCUCAAGAAGAAGGAGGUCAGGCAGCGGAGAAAGAGCCCAGAGAAGGAAGCCUUCAAAAAGAGGGCAAAACUCCAACAGGAGAACAGCGAGGAGACCGAUGACAAUGAGGCCGAGGAGGAGGACGAGGAGCCGGAGGAGAGCGGCCGUGAGGACGAGGACUCGGGCAGCGAGGAGAGCCUGGUGGACUCGGACUCCGACCCCGAGGACAAGGAGGUGAACUACCAGGCUGACCUGGCCGACCUGACGUGCGAGAUCGAAAUCAAGCAGAAGCUGAUUGACGAGCUGGAGAACAGCCAGCGGCGGCUCCAGACGCUCAAGCACCAGUACGAGGAGAAGCUGAUCCUGUUGCAGAACAAGAUCCGGGACACGCAGCUGGAGCGGGACCGCGUGCUGCAGAACCUCAGUACCAUGGAGUGCUACACGGAGGAGAAGGCCAACAAGAUCAAGGCGGACUAUGAGAAGAGGCUGCGGGAGAUGAACCGGGACCUGCAGAAGCUGCAGGCUGCGCAGAAGGAGCACGCGCGGCUGCUCAAGAACCAGUCUCGCUACGAGAGGGAGCUCAAGAAGCUGCAGGCCGAGGUGGCCGAGAUGAAGAAGGCCAAGGUGGCCCUGAUGAAGCAGAUGCGGGAAGAGCAACACCGUCGGCGGCUGGCGGAGACCAAGAGGAACCGGGAGAUCGCACAGCUCAAGAAGGAGCAGCGGCGGCAGGAGUUUCAGAUCCGAGCUCUGGAGUCCCAGAAGCGGCAGCAGGAAAUGGUCCUGAGGAGGAAAACCCAGGAGGUUUCUGCACUGAGGCGUCUGGCCAAGCCCAUGUCUGAGCGGGUGGCAGGCCGAGUGGGACCGAAGUCACCCGUGCUGGACUCGGGCGCCGAGGUGUCGGCCAGCACCACCUCGUCCGAGGCCGAGUCGGGGGCGCGCUCCGUCUCCACCAUCGUGCGCCAGUGGGACCACAAGAUCAGCCACUUCUUGGAGAACCACCCCAUGCCCACCGUGUCUGGCGCCCGCCCUGCCAGAAAGAAGUUCCAGAAGAAGGGGGCCGGCCAGAGCUUCAGCAAGGCCGCCAGGCUCAAGUGGCAGUCGCUGGAGCGGAGGAUCGUCGACAUCGUCAUGCAGAGGAUGGCCAUCGCCAACCUGGAGGCUGACAUGGAGCGGCUCAUCAAGAAAAGGGAGGAGCUGUCCCUCCUGCAGGAGGCCUUGAGGAGGAAGCGGGAGCGGCUGCAGGCCGAGAGCCCGGAGGAGGAGAAGGGUCUGCAGGAGCUGGCAGAGGAGAUCGAGGUGCUGGCGGCCAACAUCGACUACAUCAACGACAGCAUCGGCGACUGCCAGGCCACCAUUGUGCAGCUGGAGGAGACCAAGGAGGAGCUGGACUCCACAGACACGUCGGUGGUCAUCAGCUCCUGCUCCCUGGCCGAAGCCCGCCUCCUGCUAGACAACUUCCUCAAGGCGUCCAUCGACAAGGGGCUGCAGGUGGCCCAGAAGGAGGCCCAGAUCCGGCUGCUGGAGGGACGGCUGAGGCAGACAGACAUCGCGGGCCCCUCCCAGAACCACCUGCUGCUUGACGCCCUGCGCGAGAAGGCCGAGGCCCAUCCCGAGCUGCAGGCCCUCAUCCACAACGUGCAGCAGGAGAACGGCUACGCCAGCACAGAUGAGGAGGUGUCUGAGUUCUCGGAGGGGAGCUUCUCCCAGUCAUUCACCAUGAAAGGCUCCACCAGCCAUGACGACUUCAAGUUCAAGGGUGAGCCUAAGCUGUCCGCCCAGAUGAAGGCCGUGUCUGCCGAGUGCCUGGGACCCCCGCUGGAGGUGUCCACCAAGAACAUCACCAAGUCCCUGGCCUCCCUCGUGGAGAUCAAAGAGGACGGAGUGGGCUUCUCCAUCCGAGAUCCCUACUACCGGGACAAGGUCUCUCGGACCAUCAGCCUGCCCAGCAGAGGGAGCACUUUCCCCCGGCAGUCUCGAGGAGCGGAGACGUCCCCUCUGACCCGAAGGAAGUCAUAUGACCGAGGGCAGCCCAUCAGGUCCACAGACGUGGGGUUCACGCCCCCCUCGUCCCCUCCCACUCGGCCCCGGAACGACCGAAACGUCUUCUCUCGUCUCACCAGUAACCAGAGCCAGGGGUCGGCGCUGGACAAGUCUGAUGACAGCGACUCCUCUUUGUCGGAGGUCCUGAGGGGCAUCAUCACCCCGGUCGGAGGAGCCAGGGGCGCGCGGACGGCCCCGCUGCAGUGCGUCUCCAUGGCCGAGGGCCACACCAAGCCCAUCCUCUGCCUGGACGCCACGGAUGAGCUGCUCUUCACAGGGUCCAAAGACCGCAGCUGUAAGAUGUGGAACUUGGUGACGGGGCAGGAGAUCGCAGCUCUGAAGGGUCACCCCAGCAACGUGGUCUCCAUCAAGUACUGCAGCCUCUCUGGGCUCGUGUUCUCCGUGUCCACCUCCUACAUCAAGGUGUGGGACAUCCGAGACUCGGCCAAGUGCGUCCGGACCCUCACGUCCUCAGGCCAGGUGGUCUCAGGGGACGCCUGUGCGGCUGCGUCCACCCGCACCAUCACCAGCGCUCAGGGAGAGCACCAGAUCAACCAGAUUGCCCUCAGCCCCUCGGGCAGCAUGCUGUAUGCCGCUUCAGGCAACGCCGUCCGCAUCUGGGAGCUCAACAGGUUCCAGCCCGUCGGCAAGCUGACUGGCCACAUCGGCCCUGUGAUGUGCCUGACGGUCGCCCAGACCGCCAGCCAGCACGACCUGGUGGUGACCGGCUCCAAGGACCACUACGUUAAGAUGUUCCAGCUGGGCGAGUGUGUGACGGGCACCGUCGGCCCCACCCACAACUUCGAGCCCCCGCACUACGACGGCAUCGAGUGUCUGGCCAUCCAGGGGGACGUCCUGUUCAGCGGCUCCCGGGACAACGGCGUCAAGAAGUGGGACCUGGCGCAGCAGGAGCUCAUGCAGCAAAUCCCCACGGCGCACAAGGACUGGGUGUGCGCCCUGGCCUUCGUCCCGGGCCGCCCCAUGCUGCUGAGCGCCUGCCGCGCAGGUGUCAUCAAGGUCUGGAACGUCGACAACUUCACGCCCAUUGGCGAGAUCAAGGGCCACGACAGCCCCAUCAAUGCCAUGUGCACCAACGCCAGGCACAUCUUCAGCGCCUCCAGUGACUGCCGGGUAAAGUUGUGGAAUUACGUCCCUGGACUCACCCCCUGCCUUCCGCGCCGAGUCCUGGCCAUAAAGGGCCGAGCCACCACCCUGCCCUGACCUCCGCGCCCCUCCGCUCUCCUCUCUCCACCCCCAUCCUCCCCCUCUUUCCUUUCCCCUCUUUCUCCACUUCGAUCUGAGCUGCUUCUUAACGUGACCUGACAGUGAAGUUCUGGAGUGCCCGGCGCCUGGUACCCAGCGGCCCCCACUAGGAGUGAGCUCAGAGGACAGCCUGACCCUCGGCCCAGCGGGGCGGCGCCCGGGGGACAGAGGCUGUGGGCCUCCUGCCCGCCUUCCUCUCCCUGACCUUCCCACAGGACACUGCCCCCUCCCUGCCCCGCCUCUUGGGGACAGGGAGGUCGGGGAGCUAAUUAAGCUGUGAAGCCAAAUUCCCCUCAUUUCUCUCCCUGCAGCCUGCCCCCACCCCCCCACCUGUCCCGUGUUCUCUUGCCGAGCUGGCCGCGCCCUUCCUCCAGCCUUGGCCCGGGGGGCCUGUCUGGGAGGUGGGGCAGCCCUCUCCGUGCCCCUCCGGCCAGCAGGCCUCCCCUACAUUCUCUGGCCCAGCCACUGCACCUGCCUCUGAGCCCAGAAAGAUAGCCCUCAGGUAACCAUGGAAACCAGGUGCAGGCAGCUGGCCCUGCAGCUGACCUUAGCCCCUCGGCCACCAGUGGCCACUCCCCGUGGACCCCAGCAAUUCUUUGGGUCCCUUUCUGCUGGGGCCACGGUGGAGCUGCUAGAAAGAUUCCUUUGGGGAGAUGGUCAGCGUCCUUCAGUUAUUUAAUUUAUUUUUUAGUUUUAUUUUUGCUGUUGCCUCCUGGAAACUGACUUGAAGUUUCUUCCCACAAGCUUGUUCCUUCAGCUCUUAGGGGCCAGCAGUCCCGGAGGGGAUCCGCCCCCCGCCCUCCAUUUGCUUUGCAGAGGAGGGCGGCUCCCCUUUGACUCUGCAGCCUGGGCCCGUCCCCGACCUCACCCGGGGGGCCGCUCUAGUGCCCCCGCCUCCGGCCGCUUGGCGCGUCAGUGCCUUCCUACGCCGGGGCCUGGCACCCGCCCCGGGCAGCCUUACACCAGCCAUGCCCGCAGAGCCACAUGUGUCUUCUCACCCGCGGGGUCUCCUGCCCGCUGUCCCCACUCCCAGAACCCCGGGUGGGCCACGUAGGAAGCAGCUCGGAAGACUGUCCACCAUGAAGGGGCUUGGACGGCACGCCCGGCCUGGCCCCUCCCCAGCCCCCCUGCAUCUCCCCCCGGCCAGGCAGAGCCCCUGGCGUCUUUCCCUGGUUAUUCAGGAGACUUGCGUUCAAGCCUUAACUGGCACGGGCCAGGGUCUCUCCCUGUAGGGCCAGCGGUGAGGAUGGACUCCACUGAGUUUCUCCUUUCCUGGGGGCUGUGGACUCCCCGCUCCCGGGAUGUUGUUCAAUCCGCAUUCUUUUUCUUUUUACACACUUUCUCUGACGCUUAACUGGUCUUGCGCUUCCUGGCCUCACUCAGUCUGAGGGCCGGGAGUCCCAGCUCUGUUCAGAAGACGCAGUGACUUUUGGAUCUUCCGGAGGUGGCCCUGUGCUCUCCCCUCGGUGCCCCUCCCCACGUGGCCAGGGCAGAACUCGCCCUGUCCCCACUGCUCCGAGCUGCCCCCCAGCUCAGAAAGCCGUCCUGCUGUGAGGGCCCCCUGCUGGACUUGGGGUCGACGAUGGGGGAGCAGACGUGCAGCAGGGACACGCCCAGAGCCGGGACAGUGUCUUCAGGACUGGAAAUCCCUCCUGCUGGGCCAUCGCGGGGGUGCCGGGAGCCCCCUCGGCCACUCAGAAGUGGGUGCAAUUCUCCUCUCGGGCCCCGGCCCUCCCCCCACCUCAACAGAAAGCUUCACCCUUGCCUCCUGUAAGGAAGAAUCUGCGUGACUGUUUACAAGCUGUAGAAACACAAGGCUGGAGGCCUCGGCCUGGGGCCAGCGGGCAGCGGCCGCAGGCCUGUCCUUGCACAGACGGGCCCUUGGGCCCGCGAGAGGUGCUCAGAGGCCCUGCCCGUUUCCUGCUGCUUCUCGUGGGUCAGCUACCUCACGGCAGGCUGGCUCUGCUGUCCUGGCGGGAAGCACUGACUCUGAACUUGAGGUCUCGGGAGCCUCUCCCAGCUGUGCUCCAGAGCACUGAAGUCUGCCCGCUCCUUCGGGGAUGGGCUGGGUACAUGGUUGGGGGGCCCCCAGCGCCCCUCGAUGCACAAGCAUCCUCAAUGUGGAAGCACAAAAUGGUUGUGAUUUGAGCACAAGCCAGGGCUGGUGGCAGGCGGCCUGGGCAAACCCGGCCGGGAGGCUCCUCCCAGGAGGCUCUGCCCAGCGGGAGACCGAGGACGCCCGCUUCAGGGGCUGCCCUCGCUCCGACAGGGCUCGGCCCGCAGCCUGUCCUGAUUCCGGGACGCAUCCUACUACUUCCGCCCUGCUGUGCCCACCCAAAGGCUUGCAGGGCUGGGGGCCCCGGAGUGGCGCCCUUUUUCCCCGACAUCCCGAAUUGUUGAAUGCUCGAUCCCAGGUCCAUCCCAGCCCUACUGACCCGUAUCCUGUCCCGGGGCUGAGCCCCGGGAAAGCUCUCAAAGCUGGCUGGCAAGCGCCCCUGACGGGACCGUCUUCCGGCCACUGCCCACGGCCUUCUCAGCGCGGUCCUGGGCCAGGCCUCUGCUCAACGUUAACCAGGCCAGCGUUCACUUCCAUCUGCAGGGCUGGCUCCUCCGAGGCACCUGGAGUUGACUCGAGCUUGCCAAGGAGAGGGGAAGGCUGAGAGAGGCCAGCACGCCCGAGCCUUUGAGGCGGUCCGGGUGCCGCCUUCCACCCCGUGGGAGGCCAUCUGUGGGUCCAGGCAUGGUCCGGCCCUGCUGCCCGCCAGGGGCUGGGUGGCUCGGGCAGAGGGAGUUUAAAGCACAAACCACCGGAGGGAGGACUGUCGCCAGGACCUGCUCACGCCACCCGGGGUGGCGGAGACGCGGGCAGGGCUGCUGUACGGUCAGGGAGUCCUGGCCUCUCCCACCGUUGCGGGGCCUGGCUCCCGGGCGUCCUCUGAAGCGGUCUGGGCUGGGUGCCGGCACACCCCCUGGUCGUUCAUCCCCACGUCGCCCGGUGUGCUCACCACCGUGUUGUGUGGCCAGGGCCUGCCCUGCCAGAGUGCUGAGCUCCUUCCCGCCAAGUGGCCCAAACCCAGCGCCUCUGUCCCUUUGCACCCCAAGCAGCCAGGGCUUGGCUGCCACCCCCCACAAUCCCUCCUCUUUUGGCUCCCAAACCCUUCCCAACCCUCUGAUGUGCAAAGAUAGAGUUGACAGGGAAAGUUCUGAUUCUUCUAAGACAUCUUUGUUCUACUCCCCCUCCCCCAGUGAUCAGAGGAGCUCCCAGCUGCACCACACCCCAGUUCAGCCCUUUGAACUCCUGUCCCGAGGGCCUUGCAGGGAAGCAGGGGCAGUUCCGGGAAGAGCCGAGGGUCAGAGAAGACCCCUGCCGUGAAGCCCUGCCCUGCCCACCAGCUCUUUUCUAGCUAUCCCCUGCCCGGGCGCAGGGUUGCGUUUGGUUCAGCUCCUCCGCUGGGUGGUAGCACAGGUGUAUAUAUGUUUUGUACGUCUGCCGAUGACUGUACAUAGUGUAUGAAAGUUAUUUAAACCUCAUGCUGUACAUUUCUGUUCCCGGACCAGAUGUGAGUGUUCUAAGAAGCUGUCAUAAAUAAAACGCGAAUGACCCUUGUC